Molecule: long non-coding RNA, 1291 nt
Filed under: Marmota monax (woodchuck)
Lineage: Eukaryota; Metazoa; Chordata; Mammalia; Rodentia; Sciuridae
Source: RNAcentral
UCUGAAGCCUGGAGGGUGGGGACAGGGCAAGGAAUGGUGUGCCCAGCAGGCCAGGGUAAAGACCUGACACUUCCAGGACUCCUUGGCACACUUGUAUCUAGAGCUUUGACCACUGCAGGGCACCUGCCCCUAGCCUGGCAGCCACCUUCAGGUGCCCUUGCAGAGGGGGCCCAAGAAUCUGGGCAUUAAGCAUUAAGUUGGGGAUCAGAGUUAGGAAGCUGGGUUCAGAGACCCCCACAGUGGGCAGCUGCUCUGACCUGCUCUGUUCCCCUCUGAGCUCAGAGUUCUGGGACACAGGCCUCGGUCACCCUCCCCUGAGAGUCUGCAGCAGGAAUGGGUUGGGUGCCUGGAGAUACAGACCCAAGAGGCUGCCCACAGGGCCACAGGGCUGAGCCCAAGGAGCUCACAGGGGGCUGGAGGGAUGGCUGUGGGAUGGCUGGGGUGGCAGAAUCCAGGGGCUGGAAGACAAAUUUAGAAGAUGAACAAACCAGGUGACCCCUGGCUUCUGGGGUGGGUGACUGAAUAGAUGGAUGAAACCAAGACAAGAGAGGGGACCCAGAUAUGUCUACUUGAGGUUGAGGUUCCUCCAAGCAUAGCUGAGACCCAAUAGAGCCAAGCAAAAGUACCCAGGGGGGCUGAGAAGGAGUGCCCAGAGGAGUGGGCAGGUGCCUGGCAGGGUAUGAAAAGAUGGCACAACUGGCCACCAGGGGGAACCUGGUGCCCCACAGAGGGGGGUGCUCAGUGGUAGAAGGACUUGCAUCCCCACAGCCCAUUUCCUGCUUCUGGGUGUUUGGGCCCCAGCAGGCAGGUGUGAGGGGGAGGGGGCUGCCUGGGCCACCCACUCACCAGCUGCUACCCUCAGGGGAGGUUGAGGACCAGCCAGAGGCCUGUGAUGGUGUAUGGCGGGGGAGGGGGCAUUAUAUUUACUGAGCCCACCAAUCACAGCUUGCCCUGCCAUCCCUCCUUAUCACGGUCCUUGGGCUGAUAAGGCCACUGACUCUAGCAUAGGCCUGGGAAAGAGGCACCCUGGUGGGGCCGAACAGGCCAGUUCCCCAGCUGCUGGCUCCCCAGGGAGGGUCUCUGAGCAUUCUGACAGGUAAGGGCCCCAAUGUCCUGAUGGCAUGAGACGGGAGUGGAGAAGGCCUUGCAGGUUGACCAGCAGCUCCACCCAUCCAGAUCCCAUCUUCCUUCUUCCCUUUUUCCUCUUUCUUUCUUUUCUUUCUUUCCAGGGAUUGAACUCAGGGGCAGUUGACUGCUGAGCCAUAUCCCCAGCCCCUUUUUGUAUUUUAUC